UCUAGCAAAGAUUGAAGGGCGCAGACAAACACUGGGAAACAGCAUGAGCCUCUGCUGUAAAGACGAUAGUUUUGGCCCAUGGUUGGACACCCCAACAGAAGGAUCAAAUUCAAAUACAUGAAUUUUAAAAGGACUGAAGAUUAAAAGAAAAAAUACCUUUGUGUAAAUCAUCUUGAAUGCAUGGAUAAUUCCCAUGUACCUGUGUUCCCCUUUGACUUGGAACGCCAGACGAACUCUAACCAUAUCAAGAGGGAAUUUGUCUGAACAAAGACUAGCAAACAGACCAACCAGGAGCUUGGUGAACGCACUACUUCAUGAAUACAGUCCAAAAAUAGUACAAUUUUAAAGAAAUCAGAUGCAACUGAAAGAAACCACAUGAGUUACAAGAAGUCAGACCACAGCAUCUUCAGGCUGAUUCCCUGCCCAAAAGCAAAGUCUACUCCAAUUAAUGAUAGUUGAGCCAAAAAUCUCUCCCACAGUUGGUUAAACACAACAGAAUUGGAAGUAUCUCAACAAUUAAGAGGUGGAUCCUGAAAUUCCCAGUGUCUGAUCCGAAAUAACCAUAACAGGGUAACGUAGCUCUCCCUCCCUCAGUGAACCACUUCCUCCAAAGAGUAGACUUUUCCACUGCAGCUGCUGACUCAGAAGCCCAGGUAGCCAGGGAAAGACUGUUCUUCUCUUUCCAUGUUGCCCUCAAGCCCCUUUGACCGCUCUUGGGGACAAGACACUGGGUUACACAGACUAAAGACAGUGACAGUGAAGCACAACAGGAAUUAGACUGGCCUUGAUUUGCUUCCCAGACUCUGGGAGUUAACAAUGAGAUUAGCUCUGUCUCCUAAUUUGCUUGCUAUUCCUCCAUUCUCAGUCAUUUUCUUUCUUUGAAAAA
Molecule: long non-coding RNA, 886 nt
Organism: Manacus vitellinus (golden-collared manakin)
Lineage: Eukaryota; Metazoa; Chordata; Aves; Passeriformes; Pipridae
Exons: 5
Source: RefSeq, a predicted model, not a curated record